Gymnogyps californianus (California condor) is the source of this 591-nucleotide non-coding RNA. The record is from the annotation of a RefSeq genome assembly. Lineage: Eukaryota; Metazoa; Chordata; Aves; Accipitriformes; Cathartidae.
AUGGCUGUGAAUGUCUUCCCUUUCGUGUCCCAGAGCACUGGAGGUGACUUUGUGGGUUCCCUGGUCCAGGCAGCGCUGACUCAGCCGCCCUCGGUGUCAGCAAACACGGGACAAACUUUCCAGAUCACCUGCUCCGGGCUUAGCAGCAGCAGCUCUGAUUAUGUUGGUUUGUACCAGCUGAAACCUGGCAGUGCCCCUGUCACUGUCGUCUAUGAGAGCAGCAACAGACCCUCAGACAUCCCUUCGCAAUUCUCCGGAUCCCAGUCUGGCUUCACAGGUUCCCUGGUCCAGGCAGCGCUGACUCAGCCGGCCUCGGUGUCAGCGAAGCUGGGACAAACCGUCCAGAUCACCUGCUCCGGGCUUUACAGCAGCAGCAACUAUGUUGGCUGGUUCCAGCAGAAGGUACCUGGCACUGCCCCUGUCACUGUGAUCUACAACAGCAACAAGAGACCCUCGGACAUCCCUUCGCGAUUCUCCAGAUCCUCGUCCGGCUCCACAGCCACGUUAACCAUCACUGGGGUCCAAGCCGAGGACGAGGCUGUCUAUUUCUGUGGUGGCGUAGACAGCAGCUAUAAUGGUGACAUGGAGUAA